AAAAAACUCCUGAUUCUUGAGUGAUACACAGUCCAAUAGAGGAUUAGACAUAAGAAGAAAUGGGGCACAUGGGUUCUGAUGAAGAUUACUUGGGAAUAUUGAGAAAUGACUUGCCAUAACAGCUACCAUCAACUCCAGUUGUUCCAGCAUGAAAGAACUUAUAAUACCACAGAUGCUUUUGCAAAGAGAAUCUUCUGGCCAAAGUUUAGGAGGAUGUAGCAAUUCAUCAGCUAUCUCCUGAAUCACUGCCCAGUUGCCAGUAGCAAGUCCUCGCUCCAAAGUAAGUCCAGCCAAUUCUGAAAUUCUAGUUGACUCAUCCAACCUUCCUGUUCACUCAGGACUUACUAAAACAUCCCAAAUGACUUAAAAUGUAGAUUCCCUCUCAUCCUGAGAUAUCAGCGCCUGGUAUAAGAUGCAAAGGGCAAAUGGGCAGAAAGCACUCCUCUUAAUCAUGUCCAAUUUCAGUUUCACAUGUGUAC
This 479-nucleotide long non-coding RNA is filed under the name Ursus maritimus (polar bear). RNAcentral describes it as "lncRNA (ENSUMAG00000007113.1)". The record is from RNAcentral. Lineage: Eukaryota; Metazoa; Chordata; Mammalia; Carnivora; Ursidae.